RNAcentral lists this long non-coding RNA (207 nucleotides) under Elaeis guineensis (African oil palm). Its description in RNAcentral is "long non-coding RNA (EGUI_LNC000696)". Lineage: Eukaryota; Viridiplantae; Streptophyta; Magnoliopsida; Arecales; Arecaceae. The record is from RNAcentral.
GAGAAGGUCCAAAAUGCGGAAAGAGCUCAAAUGCUAGGAAAAGCUCGAGGGAUGAGGAAGUGGAUGUGGGAUCUGACCUUGAGGAGCUAUGGACACUGCAUGUCGAUGGCUCAUCAAUUGCAUCUGGAGCAGGGGCCACGCUUAUCUUAACCAGUCUUGAAGGAGAUAUAGCGGGAUAUUCUCUACGCUACAACUUCUCGACUACCA